UCCAGACUCCUACGGGAGGCAGCAGUGGGGAGUAUUGUACAAUGGGGGAAACCCUGAUGCAGCGACGCCGCGUGAGCGAUCAAGUAUUUCGGUAUGUAAAGCUCUCUCAGCAGGGAAGAAAAUGACGGUACCUGACUAAGAAGCCCUGGCUAACUACGUGCCAGCAGCCGCGGUAAUACGUAGGGGGCAAGCGUUAUCCGGAUUUACUGGGUGUAAAGGGAGCGUAGACGGUCCUGCAAGCCAGAUGUGAAAGCCCGGGGCUCAACCCCGGGACUGCAUUUGGAACUGUAAGGCUAGAGUGUCGGAGAGGCAGGCGGAAUUCCUAGUGUAGCGGUGAAAUGCGUAGAUAUUAGGAGGAACACCAGUGGCGAAGGCGGCUUACUGGACUGUAACUGACGUUGAGGCUCGAAAGCGUGGGGAGCAAACAGGAUUAGAUACCCUUGUAUU
Molecule: ribosomal RNA, 447 nt
Filed under: uncultured bacterium
Lineage: Bacteria
Description: bacterial SSU rRNA
Rfam family: Bacterial small subunit ribosomal RNA
Source: RNAcentral